RNAcentral lists this ribosomal RNA (495 nucleotides) under uncultured bacterium. RNAcentral describes it as "partial 16S ribosomal RNA". It matches the Rfam family "Bacterial small subunit ribosomal RNA", at positions 28 to 507 of the family's 1533-position model. The record is from RNAcentral.
GACGAACGCUGGCGGCGUGCCUAAUACAUGCAAGUAGAACGCUGAAGGAGGAGCUUGCUCUUCUGGAUGAGUUGCGAACGGGUGAGUAACGCGUAGGUAACCUGCCUGGUAGCGGGGGAUAACUAUUGGAAACGAUAGCUAAUACCGCAUAACAGUAGAUGUUGCAUGACAUUUACUUAAAAGGUGCAAUUGCAUCACUACCAGAUGGACCUGCGUUGUAUUAGCUAGUUGGUGGGGUAACGGCUCACCAAGGCGACGAUACAUAGCCGACCUGAGAGGGUGAUCGGCCACACUGGGACUGAGACACGGCCCAGACUCCUACGGGAGGCAGCAGUAGGGAAUCUUCGGCAAUGGACGGAGGUCUGACCGAGCAACGCCGCGUGAGUGAAGAAGGGUUUCGGAUCGUAAAGCUCUGUUGUAAGAGAAGAACGAGUGUGAGAGUGGAAAGUUCACACUGUGACGGUAUCUUACCAGAAAGGGACGGCUAACUACGUG